GAAAUUAGAAAUGAAAAAUUGGUAGUGUUGUGACCGGAGAUGCAUGAUAUAUUGAGUUAUUUUAAAUUCAGGUGUUAUUUUUCUUUUCUUUUUUUGGGGUGAUGUAUGCGAAAUCAGAUGAGUAGAACUGUAGAAAUAAAAUAUGCGGAUAGACAAAAAUUGUUUUUAAUGUUUGGGAAAUGUGACGUUGUUUUGUGAAAAAUCAAGAAAAUAAACAGUACAUGCAAUGGCAAAAGUAGCACCGUCCGUUCUGAUAGAUUUUGAAUGGAGCCGGGGCGAGCGCCUUCUUUUUAAAGGAAAAGUGACCUAAGAUUUCUUUC
Molecule: long non-coding RNA, 320 nt
Filed under: Salvia miltiorrhiza (redroot sage)
Lineage: Eukaryota; Viridiplantae; Streptophyta; Magnoliopsida; Lamiales; Lamiaceae
Description: long non-coding RNA (SMIL_LNC002714)
Source: RNAcentral